GAUGAACGCUGGCGGCGUGCCUAAUACAUGCAAGUCGAGCGAAUGGAUUAAGAGCUUGCUCUUAUGAAGUUAGCGGCGGACGGGUGAGUAACACGUGGGUAACCUGCCCAUAAGACUGGGAUAACUCCGGGAAACCGGGGCUAAUACCGGAUAACAUUUUGAACCGCAUGGUUCGAAAUUGAAAGGCGGCUUCGGCUGUCACUUAUGGAUGGACCCGCGUCGCAUUAGCUAGUUGGUGAGGUAACGGCUCACCAAGGCAACGAUGCGUAGCCGCCCUGAGAGGGUGAUCGGACACACUGGGACUGGGACACGGCACAGACUCCAACGGGAGGCAGCAGUAGGGAAUCUUCCGCGAUGGACGAAGGUCUGACGGAGCAGCGCCGCGUGAGUGAUGAAGGCUUUCGGGUCGUAAAACUCUGUUGUUAGGGAAGAACAAGUGCUAGUUGAAUAAGCUGGCACCUUGACGGUACCUAACCAGAAAGCCACGGCUAACUACGUGCCAGCCGCCGCCGUAA
RNAcentral lists this ribosomal RNA (515 nucleotides) under uncultured bacterium. RNAcentral's name for it is "partial 16S ribosomal RNA". It matches the Rfam family "Bacterial small subunit ribosomal RNA", at positions 28 to 523 of the family's 1533-position model. The record is from RNAcentral.